This 300-nucleotide ribosomal RNA is filed under the name uncultured Enterococcus sp. RNAcentral's name for it is "bacterial SSU rRNA". It matches the Rfam family "Bacterial small subunit ribosomal RNA", at positions 496 to 795 of the family's 1533-position model. Lineage: Bacteria; Bacillati; Bacillota; Bacilli; Lactobacillales; Enterococcaceae. The record is from RNAcentral.
GUUAACAGGGGCCCAGGCGCUGGGGUGAUCAGUGGGGUGCGAGCGUGAAUGGCAAUGAGCGGCGGGAAAGCUGGCUCAGUCGGUGAUGUAAGACAGAUGUUAAAUCCCCGGGCUCAACCUGGGAACUGCGUUUGUGACUGAAUCACUCGAGGACGGCAGAGGGAGGUGGAAUUCCACGUGUAGCAGUGAAAUGCGUAGAGAUGUGGAGGAACACCGAUGGCGAAGGCAGCCUCCUGGGCCAGUACUGACGCUCAUGCACGAAAGCGUGGGGAGCAAACAGGAUUAGAUACCCGUGUAGUC